GCAACGAUCAACGGCAGGCGGCUUGAA
RNAcentral lists this non-coding RNA (27 nucleotides) under Bombyx mori (domestic silkworm). Lineage: Eukaryota; Metazoa; Arthropoda; Insecta; Lepidoptera; Bombycidae. The record is from RNAcentral.